GUGGGCGUAGCUCAAGUUGGUAGAGCACCGGGAACAUUCGUGAUCCCGGGAGCGUAGGUUCGACUCCUAUCGCUCACCCCA
Molecule: transfer RNA, 81 nt
Filed under: Planctomycetota bacterium
Lineage: Bacteria; Pseudomonadati; Planctomycetota
Description: tRNA-OTHER
Rfam family: tRNA
About the family: Transfer RNA (tRNA) molecules are approximately 80 nucleotides in length. Their secondary structure includes four short double-helical elements and three loops (D, anti-codon, and T loops).
Source: RNAcentral